This 539-nucleotide ribosomal RNA is filed under the name Escherichia coli. Its description in RNAcentral is "partial 23S ribosomal RNA". It matches the Rfam family "Bacterial large subunit ribosomal RNA", at positions 419 to 959 of the family's 2925-position model. The record is from RNAcentral. Lineage: Bacteria; Pseudomonadati; Pseudomonadota; Gammaproteobacteria; Enterobacterales; Enterobacteriaceae.
GGGACACGUGGUAUCCUGUCUGAAUAUGGGGGGACCAUCCUCCAAGGCUAAAUACUCCUGACUGACCGAUAGUGAACCAGUACCGUGAGGGAAAGGCGAAAAGAACCCCGGCGAGGGGAGUGAAAAAGAACCUGAAACCGUGUACGUACAAGCAGUGGGAGCCUCUUUUAUGGGGUGACUGCGUACCUUUUGUAUAAUGGGUCAGCGACUUAUAUUCUGUAGCAAGGUUAACCGAAUAGGGGAGCCGAAGGGAAACCGAGUCUUAACUGGGCGUUAAGUUGCAGGGUAUAGACCCGAAACCCGGUGAUCUAGCCAUGGGCAGGUUGAAGGUUGGGUAACACUAACUGGAGGACCGAACCGACUAAUGUUGAAAAAUUAGCGGAUGACUUGUGGCUGGGGGUGAAAGGCCAAUCAAACCGGGAGAUAGCUGGUUCUCCCCGAAAGCUAUUUAGGUAGCGCCUCGUGAAUUCAUCUCCGGGGGUAGAGCACUGUUUCGGCAAGGGGGUCAUCCCGACUUACCAACCCGAUGCAAACUGCGA